RNAcentral lists this transfer RNA (89 nucleotides) under Sphingobacteriales bacterium. RNAcentral's name for it is "tRNA-Ser". It matches the Rfam family "tRNA". From Rfam's summary of the family: Transfer RNA (tRNA) molecules are approximately 80 nucleotides in length. Their secondary structure includes four short double-helical elements and three loops (D, anti-codon, and T loops). Lineage: Bacteria; Pseudomonadati; Bacteroidota; Sphingobacteriia; Sphingobacteriales. The record is from RNAcentral. RNAcentral also lists the same sequence under 1 other name.
GGUGAGGUGGGAGAGUGGCCGAAUCCAAUAGUUUGCUAAACUGUCGUACGGGUUAAACCGUACCGCGGGUUCGAAUCCCGCCCUCACCG